UGGGGAAUUUUGGACAAUGGGCGAAAGCCUGAUCCAGCCAUGCCGCGUGAGUGAAGAAGGCCUUCGGGUUGUAAAGCUCUUUUAGUCGGGAAGAAAGAGUUGCAAUGAAUAAUUGAGAUUUAUGACGGUACCGACAGAAAAAGCACCGGCUAACUACGUGCCAGCAGCCGCGGUAAUACGAAGGGUGCGAGCGUUAAUCGGAAUUACUGGGCGUAAAGGGUGCGCAGGCGGUCUUGCAAGUCAGAUGUGAAAGCCCCGGGCUUAACCUGGGAAUUGCGUUUGAAACUACAAGACUAGAGUGCAGGAGAGGGGAGUGGAAUUCCAUGUGUAGCAGUGAAAUGCGUAGAGAUGUGGAAGAACACCGAUGGCGAAGGCAGCUCCCUGGGUUGAAACUGACGUUCAUGCACGAAAGCGUGGGGAGCAAACA
This 427-nucleotide ribosomal RNA is filed under the name uncultured beta proteobacterium. RNAcentral describes it as "bacterial SSU rRNA". It matches the Rfam family "Bacterial small subunit ribosomal RNA", at positions 355 to 774 of the family's 1533-position model. The record is from RNAcentral. Lineage: Bacteria; Pseudomonadati; Pseudomonadota; Betaproteobacteria.